UACGUAGGUGGCAAGCGUUAUCCGGAAUUAUUGGGCGUAAAGCGCGCGCAGGCGGUUUCUUAAGUCUGAUGUGAAAGCCCACGGCUCAACCGUGGAGGGUCAUUGGAAACUAGGGAACUUGAGUGCAGAAGAGAAAAGCGGAAUUCCACGUGUAGCGGUGAAAUGCGUAGAGAUGUGGAGGAACACCAGUGGCGAAGGCGGCUUUUUGGUCUGUAACUGACGCUGAGGCGCGAAAGCGUGGGGAGCAAACAGG
Molecule: ribosomal RNA, 253 nt
Filed under: uncultured bacterium
Lineage: Bacteria
Description: partial 16S ribosomal RNA
Rfam family: Bacterial small subunit ribosomal RNA
Source: RNAcentral